AUGCCGGAUGGUCUAAAUGAUACUGCCAUUGUUCUCAUCCCCAAGGGUAAUGACCCGCAGUCGUUGAAGGACUUCAGACCAAUUAGCUUGUGUAACGUCAUCUACAAGGUGAUAUCCAAAUGAUUGGUCAAUCGGUUGCGACCCCUCCUUGACGGCCUCUUAUCUGAGACUCAAAGUGCAUUUAUCCCCGGUCGG
Molecule: ribosomal RNA, 195 nt
Filed under: Triticum aestivum (bread wheat)
Lineage: Eukaryota; Viridiplantae; Streptophyta; Magnoliopsida; Poales; Poaceae
Description: partial small subunit ribosomal RNA
Source: RNAcentral